This 492-nucleotide ribosomal RNA is filed under the name uncultured bacterium. Its description in RNAcentral is "partial 16S ribosomal RNA". It matches the Rfam family "Bacterial small subunit ribosomal RNA", at positions 29 to 507 of the family's 1533-position model. The record is from RNAcentral.
AGUGAACGCUGGCGGUAGGCCUAACACAUGCAAGUCGAACGGCAGCACAGUAAGAGCUUGCUCUUACGGGUGGCGAGUGGCGGACGGGUGAGGAAUACAUCGGACUCUACUUUUUCGUGGGGGAUAACGUAGGGAAACUUACGCUAAUACCGCAUACGACCUACGGGUGAAAGCAGGGGAUCUUCGGACCUUGCGCGAUUGAAUGAGCCGAUGUCGGAUUAGCUGGUUGGCGGGGUAAAGGCCCACCCAGGCGACGAUCCGUAGCUGGUCUGAGAGGAGGAUAAGCGACACUGGAACUGAGACACCGUCCAGACUACUACGGGAGGCAGCAGUGGGGAAUAUUGGACAAUGGGCGCAAGCCUGGUCCAGUCAUACCGCGUGGGUGAAGAAGGCGUUCGGGUUGUAAAGCCGUUUUGUUGGGAAAGAAAAGCAGCAGGUUAAUACCCCGCUGUUCUGACGGUACCCAAAGAAUAAGCACCGGCUAACUUCGUG